This 463-nucleotide ribosomal RNA is filed under the name uncultured Pelotomaculum sp. Its description in RNAcentral is "bacterial SSU rRNA". It matches the Rfam family "Bacterial small subunit ribosomal RNA", at positions 920 to 1382 of the family's 1533-position model. The record is from RNAcentral. Lineage: Bacteria; Bacillati; Bacillota; Clostridia; Eubacteriales; Desulfotomaculaceae.
CCCGCACAAGCGGUGGAGCAUGUGGUUUAAUUCGACGCAACGCGAAGAACCUUACCAGGCUUGACAUCCCCUGACCGCGUAUGAAAGUACGUUUUCACCUCGGGUGACAGGGAGACAGGUGGUGCAUGGUUGUCGUCAGCUCGUGUCGUGAGAUGUUGGGUUAAGUCCCGCAACGAGCGCAACCCCUACGUUUAGUUGCUAACGCGUGAAGGCGAGCACUCUAGACGAACUGCCGUUGACAAAACGGAGGAAGGUGGGGAUGACGUCAAAUCAUCAUGCCCCUUAUGUUCUGGGCUACACACGUGCUACAAUGGCCGGUACAGACGGACGCAAAGCCGCGAGGUGGAGCAAAUCCUAAAAAGCCGGUCUCAGUUCGGAUUGCAGGCUGCAAUUCGCCUGCAUGAAGUCGGAAUCGCUAGUAAUCGCAGGUCAGCAUACUGCGGUGAAUACGUUCCCGGGCCUU